Molecule: ribosomal RNA, 492 nt
Filed under: uncultured bacterium
Lineage: Bacteria
Description: partial 16S ribosomal RNA
Rfam family: Bacterial small subunit ribosomal RNA
Source: RNAcentral
AUUGAACGCUGGCGGCAUGCUUUACACAUGCAAGUCGAACGGUAACAGGCCUUCGGGUGCUGACGAGUGGCGAACGGGUGAGUAAUGCAUCGGAACGUGCCCAGAGGUGGGGGAUAACGCAGCGAAAGCUGUGCUAAUACCGCAUGUGAUCUGAGGAUGAAAGCGGGGGACUAAGCAGCAAUGUUUGGCCUCGCGCCUCUGGAGCGGCCGAUGUCAGAUUAGGUAGUUGGUGGGGUAAAGGCCUACCAAGCCGACGAUCUGUAGCUGGUCUGAGAGGACGACCAGCCACACUGGGACUGAGACACGGCCCAGACUCCUACGGGAGGCAGCAGUGGGGAAUUUUGGACAAUGGGCGCAAGCCUGAUCCAGCAAUGCCGCGUGCGGGAAGAAGGCCUUCGGGUUGUAAACCGCUUUUGUACGGAACGAAAAGGCUCUGGCUAAUACCUGGGGCUGAUGACGGUACCGUAAGAAUAAGCACCGGCUAACUACGUG